This 65-nucleotide transfer RNA is filed under the name Bavayia robusta. RNAcentral describes it as "tRNA-Cys". Lineage: Eukaryota; Metazoa; Chordata; Lepidosauria; Squamata; Diplodactylidae. The record is from RNAcentral.
AGCCCUGUAGUGAGUGUCACGUCAAAUUGCAAAUUUGAAAAAGUUCCUAUUUGGUUCCAGGGCUU